GAUGAAGAACGUAGCGAAAUGCGAUAAGUAAUGUGAAUUGCAGAAUUCAGUGAAUCAUCGAAUCUUUGAACGCACCUUGCGCCCUUUGGCUAUUCCGAAGGGCAUGCCUGUUUGAGUAUCAUGAACACCUCAACUCUCAUGGCUUGCCAUGAUGAGCUUGGACUAUGGGGGUCUUGCUGGCCUGUGGUCGGCUCCUCUCAAAUGAAUCAGCUUGCCGGUGUUUGGUGGCGUCACAGGUGUGAUAACUAUCUACGCUUGUGGUGUUUUCCACCAGGUAACCUUCAGCAAUGGAGGUUCGCUGGAGCUCAUAGAUGUCUCUCCUCAGUGAGGACAGCCCUUUGAAUGUUUGAUCUCAAAUCAGGUAGGACUACCCGCUGAACUUAAGCAUAUCAAUAAGCGGAGGA
Molecule: unclassified non-coding RNA, 404 nt
Filed under: soil metagenome
Description: partial contains 5.8S ribosomal RNA, internal transcribed spacer 2, and large subunit ribosomal RNA
Rfam family: 5.8S ribosomal RNA (bases 1-121)
Source: RNAcentral